CCUACGGGAUGCAGCAGUAGGGAAUAUUGCUCAAUGGGGGAAACCCUGAAGCAGCAACGCCGCGUGGAGGAUGAAGGUUUUCGGAUUGUAAACUCCUUUUGUUAGAGAAGAUAAUGACGGUAUCUAACGAAUAAGCACCGGCUAACUCCGUGCCAGCAGCCGCGGUAAUACGGAGGGUGCAAGCGUUACUCGGAAUCACUGGGCGUAAAGAGCGCGUAGGCGGGAUAGCAAGUCAGAUGUGAAAUCCUAUGGCUUAACCAUAGAACUGGAUUUGAAAAUGGUAUUCUAGAGUAAUGGGGAGGGAAGGGGAAUUCUUUGUGGAGGGGUAAAAGCAG
RNAcentral lists this ribosomal RNA (335 nucleotides) under uncultured bacterium. Its description in RNAcentral is "partial 16S ribosomal RNA". It matches the Rfam family "Bacterial small subunit ribosomal RNA", at positions 338 to 690 of the family's 1533-position model. The record is from RNAcentral.